UCCUCCUCCUCCUCCACUAGGGCCUCCUUCUCCUCUUCGUCCUCAUCCUACUUUUGGCUUCCCCUGGACUUCUUAGCUUGUCCCUCAAGUUGCUCCCUCACUCGCUCUUGGGCACACCUCCAGCCUUUGCAUCCUUUCCCUUUUUGCUCUUUCCUCCCCAGCUUCUUGCUCACUCUCCCUACCUUCAAGGCUUCAGCUUCCUCUCACUGGCCCUUCCCAACUACCAAUGUCCACCACCUACAACAAGUCUCCACUUUUUCCCACCUUCCCUUGGCUUUCAGGAGAAAAUCUUAUGCCCUCACACAUACACACACACACACACACACACACACACACACACACACAGAAACCCAGACAAGGGCACAUGCAAAUAUGUGCACAGGCACACCCAUAUACACAUAUACUGGCACACCCACAGAGAUGCACAUGGCCCCAUUAGGAGACCCUGGCACUCAAGGCCAGCCCUCCACUUUGUCUUGGCACUCAUUGGCCCUCAGAAGGAUACCCUGAGCUGCAUUCCCGCGUGACCCCUGUCCCCAUUUCUGCAGGGCCCAGUGGAACCUCCUCGGCUGCCAAUGGCAUUUCCGGAAAUCCCAACGAAGGUAAUUCUGGAGCCAAGAGCUUACACCCCUACUUCUCCGGGCCCUCCUCAGGGUCACCCGUGUCAACCCAUUGCUCCAAACAAAGUGCUCCAAACACACAGGCACGCUCCGUAGGCACCUGCAUCUUUGCAGGCAAGGCUAGAGCUCCCUGCCAUGCAAGAUACCCAACAAUUUUCCCCAGCCACCUUUUCCCCCACUCAUUUUGCCCAUCCAAUGGGCCUUACCUAAACACUGGGUUCCCCACGUGGCCAUUUCCCAGGACCAGUCACAUCCACAGGAGCCAGUGGGACAGGCAGAGCUGAAACCAGCACAAAGGGGAGAUCGCCAGCUGUGAGCAGUAGCUCCAGUGGAGCCAGCCAAGGUCAGUUGCCUUGGGGGACUCUUCUACCACCUGCAUGACACUCCUGCACACUCCACUUCUUGCUCAUGGCUGGCCCACUGAGAGACACUCCCAAUUGCCACUGGCUUCCAACUUCUCCGGCCAUGGGCCAUUCAUUCUCGCCUCUCUUUCUUCCUAUCAGGUGCUACUCCCCAAGCAACAGGCAGCACCAUCAGCCGAAGCAGCGAAGGAGCCAGUGGGCUCAACUCAGCUCAAACCACCACCCAGGGAAGAUCCACAGCCAUUGGUGCCAGCUCCAGGGGAGCCACUCAAGGAGACACCCAACAAGGAGCAGAGACCACAGUCACCAGGAGCAGAGAAGAAACCAUCAGCACCACAGGAGCCAGCGGCACAAAGGGCGCUGAAAUCACCCCCAAGGGAAGACCCACCACAGCACAAGGCACCAACUCCAAUGGGGCCAGUCAAGGUGAGUGGAGGAACAAAGACCUGCUGGCUCCUGCACUUCUUCCAGGGGAUGCUCCAAUCCUUGACAGAGUCCAGUGGCCUAGCAGAGCUGCUGGCUGCCCACUUUCUACAAUUCUCACCAAACUUUCUUCCUCAUCGCAAUUCCUUGCUGCCAACAGGUGCGACCACCCGCCAAGGAGCAGACAGCCUCCUCAACGGGAGCACUCAAGGGCCCAGUGGAACCUCCUCGGCUGCCAAUGGCAUUUCCGGAAAUCCCAACCAAGGUAAUUCUGGAGCCAAGAGCUUACACCCCUACUUCUCCGGGCCCUACUCAGGGUCACCCUUGUCAACCCAUUGCUCCAAACAAAGUGCUCCAAACACACAGGCACGCUCCGUAGGCACCUGCAUUUUUGCAGGCAAGGCUAGAGCUCCCUGCCAUGCAAGAUACCCAACAAUUUUCCCCAGCCACCUUUUCCCCCACUCAUUUUGCCCAUCCAAUGGGCCUUACCUAAACACUGGGUUCCCCACUUGGCCAUUUCCCAGGACCAGUCACAUCCACAGGAGCCAGUGGGACAGGCAGAGCUGA
Long non-coding RNA from Monodelphis domestica (gray short-tailed opossum), 1972 nucleotides. NCBI's taxonomy places the organism in Eukaryota, Metazoa, Chordata, Mammalia, Didelphimorphia, Didelphidae. The record is from Ensembl.